Molecule: ribosomal RNA, 500 nt
Filed under: uncultured bacterium
Lineage: Bacteria
Description: partial 16S ribosomal RNA
Rfam family: Bacterial small subunit ribosomal RNA
Source: RNAcentral
GACGAACGCUGGCGGCGUGCUUAACACAUGCAAGUCGAACGGGUCUGCCCUGUUUUUUGCGGGGUGGGUCAGUGGCGAACGGGUGAGUAACACGUGAGUAACCUGCCCCUCACUUCUGGAUAACCGCUUGAAAGGGUGGCUAAUACGGGGUGUUCUGGCUGUGCCGCAUGGUGUGGCUGGGAAAGAUUCCCUUUUGUGGUGUUUUGGUGGGGGAUGGGCUCGCGGCCUAUCAGCUUGUUGGUGGGGUGAUGGCCUGCCAAGGCUUUGACGGGUAGCCGGCCUGAGAGGGUGGGCGGUCACACUGGGACUGAGAUACGGACCAGACUCCUGCGGGAGGCAGCAGUGGGGGGUAUUGCACAAUGGGCGGAAGCCUGAUGCAGCGACGUCGCGUGAGGGAUGGAGGCCUUCGGGUUGUGAACCUCUUUCGCCGGUGAAGAAGGUCCUGCUCUUUGUGGUGGGGUUGACGGUAGCCGGGUUAUGAAGCGCCGGCUAACUACGUG